CCUACGGGUGGCAGCAGUGAGGAAUAUUGGUCAAUGGGCGUAAGCCUGAACCAGCCAAGUCGCGUGAGGGAUGAAGGUUCUAUGGAUCGUAAACCUCUUUUAUAAGGGAAUAAAGUGCGGGACGUGUCCCGUUUUGUAUGUACCUUAUGAAUAAGGAUCGGCUAACUCCUUGCCAGCAGCCGCGGUAAUACGGAGGAGCCGAGCGUUAUCCGGAUUUAUUGGGUUUAAAGGGUGCUUAGGCGGCAUGUUAAGUCAGCGGUGAAAGGCUGUGGUUCAACCAUAGAAUUGCCGUUGAAACUGGGAGGCUUGAGUGUGUGUGAGGCAGGCGGAAUGCGUGGUGUAGCGGUGAAAUGCAUAGAUAUCACGCAGAACCCCGAUUGCGAAGGCAGCCGGCCAAGCCGUGACUGACGCUGAUGCACGAAAGCGUGGGGAUCAAACAGGAUUAGAUACCCGAGUAGUC
RNAcentral lists this ribosomal RNA (460 nucleotides) under uncultured bacterium. RNAcentral describes it as "partial 16S ribosomal RNA". It matches the Rfam family "Bacterial small subunit ribosomal RNA", at positions 338 to 795 of the family's 1533-position model. The record is from RNAcentral.